AGAGUGAACGCUGGCGGUAGGCCUAACACAUGCAAGUCGAACGGCAGCACAGUAGGAGCUUGCUCUUACGGGUGGCGAGUGGCGGACGGGUGAGGAAUACAUCGGAAUCUACCUUUUGGUGGGGGGAUUAACGUAGGGAAACUUACGCUAAUACCGCAUACGCCCUUCGGGGGAAAGCCGGGGACCAGCAAUGGCCUGGCGCUGAUAGAUGAGCCGAUGUCGGAUUAGCUAGUUGGUGAGGUAAUGGCUCACCGAAGGCGACGAUCCCGUAGCUGGUCUGAGAGGAUGAUCAGCCACACUGGAACUGAGACACGUCCAGUACUACCGUACGGGAGGCAGCGAGUAGGGAAUAGUAGGACAGUGGCGCAACGCCUAGA
RNAcentral lists this ribosomal RNA (377 nucleotides) under uncultured soil bacterium. RNAcentral's name for it is "bacterial SSU rRNA". It matches the Rfam family "Bacterial small subunit ribosomal RNA", at positions 26 to 387 of the family's 1533-position model. The record is from RNAcentral.